AUGGCCCAUGACCUUCUCUUCAGGCUUUUUCCACUUUUGGCCCUGGGAGUCCCCUUACAAAGCAACCGCCUUGGCCCCACAUCUCGCCUGCGCUAUUCCAGGUUCCUAGAUCCUUCUAAUGUCAUUUUCCUGCGUUGGGACUUUGACCUUGAGGCUGAAAUCAUCAGUUUUGAGCUCCAGGUCCGUACAGCUGGCUGGGUGGGCUUCGGUGUCACAAAUCGCUACACCAACGUGGGAAGUGAUCUGGUUGUUGGAGGAGUCUUGCCUAAUGGCAAUGUCUAUUUCUCGGAUCAGCACUUGGUGGACGAAGACACUCUGAAGGAGGAUGGGAGCCAGGAUGCUGAGCUGCUGCGGCUGACGGAAGAUGCUGUCUACACCACCAUGCACUUUUCCAGGCCCUUCCGCUCCUGCGACCCUCAUGACCUGGAUAUUACGAGCAACACCGUGAGGGUGCUGGCCACCUAUGGCCUGGAUGACACUCUGAAGCUGUAUCGGGAGCGUACUUUUGUCAAGUCCAUCUUUCUGCUACAAGUCGUCCACCCUGACGAUCUGGAUGUCCCUGAGGACACCAUCAUCCAUGACUUGGAGAUCACUAAUUUCCUCAUUCCAGAGGAUGACACCACGUAUGCCUGCACCUUUCUUCCUCUCCCUAUUGUGAGCGAGAAGCAUCACAUUUACAAGUUUGAGCCUAAGUUGGUCUACCACAAUGAGACAACGGUGCAUCACAUCCUGGUGUACGCCUGCGGCAAUGCUAGCGUUCUCCCCACAGGCAUCAGCGACUGCUAUGGGGCCGACCCUGCCUUCUCCCUUUGCUCACAGGUCAUCGUGGGCUGGGCUGUCGGGGGCACAAGCUACCAGUUUCCAGAUGACGUAGGAGUCUCUAUUGGGACCCCCUUGGACCUUCAGUGGAUCCGACUGGAGAUUCAUUACAGCAAUUUUAACAACCUUCCUGGUGUGUAUGAUUCCUCGGGGAUUUGCGUGUACUACACUUCUCAGCUGCGCAAAUACGACACGGAUGUCCUCCAGCUGGGCUUCUUCACGUUUCCCAUCCACUUCAUCCCCCCGGGCGCUGAGUCCUUCAUGUCCUAUGGGCUGUGUAGGACGGAGAAGUUUGAGGAGAUGAAUGGAGCUCCUAUGCCUGACAUACAGGUGUAUGGCUACCUGCUGCACACCCACUUGGCUGGACGGGCUCUGCAAGCAGUGCAAUACAGGAAUGGAACACAACUUCGAAAAAUCUGUAAAGACGAUUCCUAUGACUUCAACCUGCAGGAGACUCGAGAUUUGCCCUCUAGAGUGGAGAUCAAGCCGGGAGAUGAAUUGCUGGUAGAAUGUCACUACCAGACACUGGACCGUGACUCCAUGACAUUUGGAGGCCCCAGCACCAUUAAUGAGAUGUGCCUCAUCUUCCUCUUCUACUAUCCCCAAAAUAACAUCUCCAGCUGCAUGGGGUACCCUGACAUUAUCUACGUGGCCCACGAGCUGGGGGAGGAGGCAUCAGAGUGA
This is an RNA transcript of Homo sapiens (human), 1503 nucleotides long. It is a transcript of the gene named monooxygenase DBH like 2, pseudogene, with no coding region annotated. The record is from RefSeq and is marked validated. The transcript has 11 exons. Lineage: Eukaryota; Metazoa; Chordata; Mammalia; Primates; Hominidae.